AAGACUAUACUUUCAGGAUCAUUUCUAUAGUUGGUUAGCUGCCAUCAAGUCGGCUCCAACCCACAGCAACCCCAUGCACAACAG
Molecule: small nucleolar RNA, 84 nt
Filed under: Echinops telfairi (small Madagascar hedgehog)
Lineage: Eukaryota; Metazoa; Chordata; Mammalia; Afrosoricida; Tenrecidae
Description: Small nucleolar RNA U3 (ENSETEG00000025297.1)
Source: RNAcentral